This 382-nucleotide ribosomal RNA is filed under the name uncultured bacterium. RNAcentral's name for it is "bacterial SSU rRNA". It matches the Rfam family "Bacterial small subunit ribosomal RNA", at positions 355 to 754 of the family's 1533-position model. The record is from RNAcentral.
UCGGGAAUUUUGGGCAAUGGGCGAAAGCCUGACCCAGCAACGCCGCGUGAAGGAUGAAGUAUUUCGGUAUGUAAACUUCGUAAGAAUAGGAAGAAUAAAUGACGGUACUAUUUGUAAGGUCCGGCUAACUACGUGCCAGCAGCCGCGGUAAUACGUAGGGACCAAGCGUUGUUCGGAUUUACUGGGCGUAAAGGGCGCGUAGGCGGCGUGGUAAGUCAUCUGUGAAAUCUCCGAGCUUAACUCGGAACGGUCAGAUGAUACUGCUUUGCUAGAGUGCAGAAGGGGCAAUCGGAAUUCUUGGUGUAGCGGUGAAAUGCGUAGAUAUCAAGAGGAACACCUGAGGUGAAGACGGGUUGCUGGGCUGACACUGACGCUGAGGCGC